AUGAGAUCCGUCAAAUGUCUUUCGCCAUCCACUUUUCUAGUUUGGGUCUCUCCAUGGCUGUCCCCAAGGCCACUGGUUGGUGCAGCUUUCCCGCCCCCCCCCCCCCCCCCCCCCCCCCCCGCGCCCCCCCCCCCCCCCCCCCCCCCCCCCCCGCCCCCGGAUGCCUACGUGCUACCCCAACCAGAACUGCAAAAUUUAGAGACUGGGUACCAAAGAAGUAAGGCGUCCUCAGAAGCGGCUGCAGGAGCCAACGCACUGGACUCCCUCAGCCCACAUCUGUGGAAUUAUAACAUCUGAGGACCUGGUGUGGGAGUGAGGGGACCCAAGCCAUUGCAAAUGGGGGGAAAAGGCAAGCAUAAAACCAAACCAAACUUCAGUCCUCCUUGGGCUGUUCCCAUCAAACAAAUCCAAAAGAAACAUUUUUGUGAGUGUGUUAACUUGGACACUAAAGUAUCAGGCUUUGACUAGGAUGAACUGGGUAUAAUUAGUAUCAAGAUAGGUAGUUUUGCCAGGUGGCCAGAUGAGAGACAUACCUUGGAGAUUGCAGUUCAGGUUGUUUUCCCCUGCAGCUGCAUGCUCACAUGAGCUCAGUCUUGAAACGGUAGAUCUCCAGUAAACAUGGAUGGAGCAGGUAAACAAAGCACUGUUUACCCAAGUGAAUUUUCUUUGUCCUGACAGAGCCAUGUAAAGCUCCUCUUUUGUUUUGUUUUUGUUUUGUUCUUUUAUCAUUUCUUCUUUUUUUGUUUUCUUUCUAUCUAUCUAUCUAUCUAUCAUCUAUCUAUCUAUCUAUCUAUCUAUCUAUCUAUCUAUCUAUCUAUCUAUCUAUAUUUUGUUUGGGAUAAGGUAUCCCUGGCUGUCCUGGAACUCUCUCUGUGAACCAAGGUGGCCUUGAACUCAGGGAUCUGCCUGUCUCUGCCCACUCCAUGUUUAAAUUUUUUAUACUUUAACUCUCUUCCUUUGUAGAAUUUUUGAAGUUAUGGAUUCCUAAAGAUAGGGUACUUUCAAGGAUGAAGCAGAUUCAAGGCUGACUUUGCUGGCUCAUACCUUUUCCCUAUUUUUUUAGGGAUACAGGAUAAAGAGUUACAGGCAUAAGCCCAGCUAACAAAAUGGGCUCACUGGUGAGUCACUUGUCUUUAUAUUUUACUUAAAUAUUCUUUUCUUUUUGAAUGAUAGGGGCCAGUCAAGACAAUAGAGCUACAUAAUCCAAAGAAGGAUCAAACUGAUCACAGUCCUUGUGACCUUUUACCCUUCCUUUAAUUCUCAAUACUGAACAUCUGUGUUUCUUGGUCAAUGCCUGAAAGUAAUAAAGACAAUUAGAGCUUAGAGCA
RNAcentral lists this long non-coding RNA (1328 nucleotides) under Mus spicilegus (steppe mouse). RNAcentral describes it as "lncRNA (ENSMSIG00000019440.1)". The record is from RNAcentral. Lineage: Eukaryota; Metazoa; Chordata; Mammalia; Rodentia; Muridae.